This is a long non-coding RNA of Lagopus muta (rock ptarmigan), 19090 nucleotides long. RefSeq lists it as uncharacterized. The transcript is spliced from 7 exons. NCBI's taxonomy places the organism in Eukaryota, Metazoa, Chordata, Aves, Galliformes, Phasianidae. The record is from RefSeq and is a predicted model, not a curated record.
CGGCCUACUCCGAGCAUCGUGGCGGCGCGGAGCGCGGGAGGGAGUGCGGCAGGAUGAAGGAUUUUUACUUCUCGGUUAGAUUUACGUUGCUGUGAGGGAAGAGCUGCGCUCUAUGGGUGCUGGGCAAAAACACGGACGUUUGGUCGCGUUCCUCCUCCCGCCCCGCAGAGCCGUGCUGCUGCCGGCCAUGUGCUGCGCUGCGCGGUGCCGUGCGCGUGGCGGCUCCGUUACCCGCAGCAGAAGGCGCUGGAGACUCCCGCCUUAACACCGCGCCAGGGCGAGCGGUGCUGGCCCAGUAGGGCUGUCGGCCCGCGCCCUUCCCGGUGCACGUGUCUCAGUGUGGCUGUGCAGGCCUUCCUCGCCCGGCCCGCGCCACGACGCCAGAGGCUGGGCUGGGACACGAGGGCCGGGACGGAGGGCGGGCGGUGAGGUGGAGCGGGGCGGGGGGAGGGAGGGAGAGAAAGAGCAGCUGUGUGCUCACACUGUGCGCGGGGGUGAGAGGUUGCUUGUGGCCGCAGUGAGGUCUGGGCCAGGGUGGGGGUGGAACGACAAGAUUUUUCAGUGAUUUGUUUUCUUCCACUGCAACAGGGGAAUUACCCCAGUCAAACUUGCCUUUUCUACCUGCUUUGAGUGAUUAUAGGUCGGGAGGCAGGUUUUGGAGUACCCUGCAGUAAUUUCCCUGCUGGCGGGGGGGCAGCGGGAGUUGCUUUGCUGUUAGGUGGAAGCAGGUGCUUCUCCACGCUGUGUGCUUGCCAAGUGUGACCCAGUUCAGAGGCGAAAACGAUGAAAAUUUAAUUGAGUAAAAGGUUGUGGGACAGACCCACUCUUGGUGUAAUAGAUUAUGCCAAAAUAAUUUUUCUUACAUUGGUGUCCCUGGUUCUGGGCUUCUCUUCCUUCCCCAGUAAUGAAAUCCUCAUUUAUACAGGUGAAGUCGUGUACAAAUGCACACCAUGCAUGGAAGUAUCUGUGUUCGUGUGCUUUGCUGCGCCCUAUCUGAAAUAUGGCAUUUUAAAGCCACCACAACGCUUAGUAAUAGUUAUUCCACAGGAAACUUCAGAAGAAUGCAAAUGUCUGUCCAGAUAAUUCUUGUAGUCCCUGCAUCAUUUGGGGUAGUCCUUGGUACCUCAGAUGUUGACUGGAUCUGAGAAGUCAGUCCUUACCCCAAAGGUGUUACAGUUUUGGUGGAAAAUCAGCACGUGUUCGUAGUUUACUGAGCAUGUCCAGAGUGGCGUGCUUCUCUGUAGGGGGCCCAAUAUAAAAAGCAACUCUUUGGAAUAGGGAUUUUUGUAAGGCUAGCUCCACAGUCUGUUUUUUUCCUUGAGCUGGAUAAAGGCAGCAUGUCCACAGCACACCGCCUGCCCGUGCUUUGCUGGAGGCUUGGUGACCUCGCCCUCUGUACAGGAGCAAUGGGCUGGUGUCCUCAGGAGCGUGUGGCUGGGAGUCUGUAAUUGGAAGGGAAUCCUCACAAAAGGAAAUCUGAUUCAUUUACUCUAAAUAUUUAACUGCAAUUUUCUUACUUUAACACCAUCCUAUUUUACUGCACUAUUGCAUCUUGCCUCCAAAAUUAAUAGUUAACCACUGAGAAAGACAGGUCUGGCAGAAUGGAAAUCAGGCAUUAUAUUAUCCCAUGAGUCAUGUGCAUACAGAGAACCAAACAAGUGUCAGCCAAUGGCUUUGAGCCCAAAAUAUGUCAAAGAGGAGAUGUGUAUCUUCAUUUAUAUUAAGUAGAUAGAAAGCGUGUUGCUGUUCCCAUUAAGCUGGUUGGAGCCCUGCCACUGGCUGCGGUGGGAACAGGAUGGGCCCAUGCAGCAGGAGCUGGCUCUGGCUACCUGCACUCACCGUAGUUUCUGUGCAGUAAGGGCAGCUUCUAUUCUAACAGUUGUUCUUAGUUAGCAAGGAGUUUGGAGACCUGCCCUGGUCUAGAUGUGAUUCCUUUCUUUGUCAGGUGAAUUGAUUUCUCCUUUGAAGUAUGAGGAUGCACCGUAGUAAGCAGCAGCACGGCCUUUCAGAGUGCAGAGUAGGGAGAGAGUGACUGACGGGAGGAUCAGCACAGCUCAUUUCCUCAGCAGGGUUUUUGUGAUAUGUAACUAUUUACAUUUUUGAAAGCUGCAUUUAGCAAUUGACCCUGCUUUAUGCAUUCAGACCACUUUAUUUGGCAGAAUUUCAGCGGAAUCAGGGGAAGUCUUUACUGAGUAAAUGUCUCCAAGAUGUGACUUGUCCCUCAGGAAGAGGGGAUGAUACGAAUAGCAGUGAUACACCCCAACCGGGGACUGGGACAUCAGGGCUGCUGCUGAACCGCUGCUGGUCAGUGGGUAUCACAUGCCUGAGCUUUCACAUACAGCCAUACGCUCAUCUGUUGCAUACAUGUUUUGUUUUUGUUGUGUUGUCAUUGUAUGUUAGGUCUUAAUUCUCCUUUGUGGGGCAGAAUUCAGUUUCAUGUGGGGAUUGGAGGCCUGGAAACGUAUACUCACUGACUUCAGAAAAAUCAUUUUCACGUUUUUAUUGAUGUGCCAGUUCAGUUAAAAUACUGUUGGUAAAGUUGGGCUGAAAUGAGUAUUUGUUGUUGACUCAUAAUUGUACAAAUUAGGAUUAAGCCUUCUCAUAAAGUAGUAUAAAAUCUGGAAGUCUGUGUGCAAGUGCUGCUUGCUUUGUUCCAGUCAGCAGCUCUCCUCUGUUUACUGGAACUCAGGCUCAGUACCAAAAAAAUGGGACUGCUGGUGUUCUCAUACAGGCAUCCUCAGCAGUUUUUGACCUGCAGUUGGUUACAGGAUUGACUUGUUUGCAGUGAAACAGGUGAGGUGGGAUUGCUUCUGUGUGCAGUGGAAGUAAGGCUUAGAGUCCCUAGUUUUGAUUUUAAGAACGGGUUAUUUGGCUCACUAAGUGAGGCAGGGAUAUAGCAAAAGUAUUGGCAGUAUUUAUUUCAAAAAGUCAUAGUGCAAUUACCACAUGAAAGCACCAAGUUUUUAUUCUAAGUGGACAUGUAGGUCAUGUAAAUACAGCUCUGGCUGUACUGCUUUUUGUUUACAUUGUGGGCAACAACAUUUGCAAAUAUCGCAUCAAGAAUUCUGAGCCGAUACAACUAACUUAAAAACAGCCUUUGCUAAGGCAGAUUCCAAGUGAAUAUUUCAUGAGAGCUGUAACAAUGUGUGGGUCACUCCAUAAUCUGUGGGUGCCAUUUGUGCUUUUGGUUAUCUUUUGUAAUUUGAUGGUUGAAUGGUGUUGGAAAUUGGAAUUUUUACCUACCAGUAACAUAACUAGCUUUUUAAUGCUUGUGUGUGAACGAUUUCCUUAAAAUUAUAAACAGUGACAGAAGUUUGGUGAUCUUGUUGGUGUAGGCUGUGCUAUGCAGGAGCUGGGCAUGUCUGCAGUGCUCUGUCUGUGACCUGAGUUAGCCCUGCAAGAGCUCAUGGGCCACGCUGAGGGUUUUUGUAUGCUUUUUGCAGCAGGUGAUGUUUGCUCUUCUCUUUCUGCAGCUGUAGGAAAAAAAUCAAAUAAUGAGAAUGUUUUAGGGCUCAUGUGAGCAGUAGGUAUUUUGGUAUCUGUGUUCCUGCUUGUCACUGAGGGUGUUCCUUGAAGGCUUGCACACUGCAGUGCCGGACGCCUUCCCUGUGGAUUGCAGUUGUCCUCUCAUGCCGUCACUACGCGCUGCUGGUUACUGAGGGAGAGCUCCCUGGGCGUGCUGCUGCUGGGGAGGAGCUCUUGGUGCUCUUGGUGCUGCUGGCUCUGUGGGCCGUGGUGGGGCUGAGGUGGGAGCUGUGCUGCCGGCUCUGGCCUGCGACCUGCAGUGUUCAGAAGAAAAUGGGAUAUACCGAGGGGAGGUUAGAAAAGAGAAAAGGCAGACAGCAGCUGUUGAGGUGUAGGGGCGAGAAGAUUCAGAGUUGAUGCUGCUGGCAGCAGGCCUAACUGGAGUGGGAGCAAGGCUCCAAAGGAGGGGGAUCCAGGCCAGGGGACAGCGAGAGGUAUGACAGCUUCUGUUUGAAGACCCAACACUUGCAUAGGGCUCCAGCCAGAGCCUGAUGGGUGCAGUGUGAUGGCAGGCAGGCAGUAGGCAUGCUGAGGUUGCUAUUUUGUUAGCUUUCAUGCUAUAUAACAUCAUCUGUUUAUUUAGAAAAGCGUGUUUUUCACCCCAGUCGGAGUCAUUUCCCGUGAAAAGCAAAGCUCUCUUGCUGGGAGGACUGCUGGGUUCUGUGAAACACUAGAGCGACCAGAAAAGUUACAGAAAAUUUUGAAACAUAGGGGAAUCCUUCCCUGCAUUUCUUCCAUCACCCACAUACGUCCCAGAAUGCCAGUGUGAUAGGGGAGAGCAGGGCAAGGAUACAGUUCAUGUCUGGGCUGUGUGCACGUCCUGGGCAGCUGUUUGUGAUGUCCAGUGUGGGCUGUACCCCCACCAACGUGUGCAGCUGCUGGCACAUACCACCAAAGUGUGGCACAUCAGCUUUUAUAGACAAUUUGUUAGUUAGAGUUGAAAAUGCAAAGCUACUUCUGAUCUUAGAGUAGCAAACUUGCCCUGUAAGCAACUUUCUAGAUUUCACGUAUGACUGCAUUAGUAGAGUCUAUAAUCUGUUGGCAGUUACGGCUGCUAGAGCUUUGCAAUUUCGUUAAUUUUAUGUGCUAAUAAAUGGCUCAUGGGCAGCUCGCUCUUACCAACCAAGGCACUAGUACUGACUAAAGAAUCAGGAGACUUAAUGAAAGAGAAUGAAAUGUGGAGAUCUUUUUGUUCAACUUCAUCUUUUGCUCUUCUAGCUUAGUGCACUUGAGUGAGGUUUUCAAGUUUUUCGUUAUAUUCGUGCUCUUUAAUAAAAACAUACUGAUUCUCAUGAGGCUGGGGGGACAUCGUUUGCCUUGAGAACUGUAGUCAGGUUGUAAGUUGUCGAUACUGCUGUGUGUCGUCCUGCUAGCAGGGCUGAGCUGAUGGCUGUGAAUUGGGCAGCAUGCAUCUCUGUGCAGUGCUGCGGAUACCCUGGGGCUCCAGCCUCCAGCUGGUCAGCAUCACACAAUUGCUACUAGUGGGUGGUGAGAAACACCUGUGAGGGGAGCACUCUCAUCCCAGGUGUGCCGGGUGCUGGCAGGCAGGGGCUGGUUGUGUGUGCCAGGCACCAAACAGUCACAGAGGGCAACAAGCCCAGGCUACCUUAACUGCAAACGAGUGACUCAGCUGUUUCUGCAAAGUUCGGAGUUUCAGCAGAAUAUUUCUUUUUCCGCUAUGCUGACAGCUUUUCCACCCACGUAUUGCAAACGUGGCUUUGUGCCAUGGAUGUAUUUUAGGAUUAUAAAGCGUAGUGUAAAUUUUUAGAGUUACAUAUGAAAAAAGGUGCCUUCUGGAUCUCGAAAUAUGUAGGUUGUAUGUAGACUGGGGGAGUAGGGGAGCUCUUUCUAAAACCUAAGCCUUGGAGGAGAUAGAUCCCCAUCUGUCAAUUCUGUUUUUAUUUAUUCCACUGAAAACCAGGCAGUGUGUUCAGACGUCCUGUAUCUACAGAAAUAGAAUGCUCUGAAAUCCCCCAGAGUUUUGGCAGAGCUUUUAUUGUGGGCAGUUACUCAUUCACACACCUGGUACGUACUGUUGGUCCUGUUAUUGUAAGGCAUUCCCAAACAGUCCUGCAGGGAAAAUAAACUGCAGAGAGAUAUACAGGAAAUUAACCAUAAUAAAACGCAAAAGGUUUCUUAAUCUGUCAAGUGUAUUGCAGUAUUCAGUGAGUUACUGUACUCAGCUGAAGGUGAAAUUGGAUGGAGUAUGUCUGUGAUGUUACUGCAGCUCAUUGAGACACAUGCAGAUACAGCCAGUGUACACCAAGCCGGUCCUUUGCCUGUCCUUGCUGUCAGUCUGGGACCUCUGCAUGGAUCAGGCAUGGCAGGGCUGAUUGUGGGGGAGGACAGCCAGGAGCUGGGGUCAUGCUCGGUCAUUUCUGUGCUCAGGCAGCCAGCUGUGGAAUCCAAAGGUUUGCUCUGUUGUCACAAAUUUUUUAUGCCACAAAUGCUGAUGAGGCAGCAAAAGCCGCUAUCAAGGGCCUCACCACAUCAUGGGAAUAGAGAAGAGAAAGAGCAGAGAUCCAGAGAAGUGCUGUUAGUGACCAGUAACCGCCAGGGCAUGGCGGAUGGCUCUUGUGAAGCUGGCAAGGCCACGGCUUCUCUAGACUCUCUGUCAGCUGGAGGGGCAGUAAUUCAUUGGUGAUGUCUGCAGCAGUCCUCAGCUCGCUUUGCUUGUUGGAUUUUGGGGUUUGGGUCUCUGUUUUGUUUUGGUCUUUUAUGAAGUUACUUCCAAAGAAAAGAUAUAAUAGAAUAUGACAGCAUAUAUAUUAAGCAUAAAAGCAUUAUGUUCCUCUGGGAGCUGUUGGAGGAGAAGCAGCCGAGCCACUGAAAUGCAACCCCACCGCUGCCAUGAGUGCCUGUCGGCAGGUCAGAUCUCUGCGGUCAUGCUGGGUGGGUCUUGGGGAACCAAAGGGACAAGUGACUUUUGUCCCUGGCCAGCAGGAAGCCACCAGGCACAGAGACAAGCUCUCCCUGUUUCACCCUCAGGCUGCCAGCGGGCCAGGAAACAAGUCCUGCCAGCACCUUGCACUGUGUGCUGUCAUGCUGUCCGCGUCACAACAGGGCAGCCUGGCUCCACCACUGCUCCUUCAGGGUCACAAGGAAGGGAAACAGUCCUGCUCCAUUGCUGGAGCACUGGCUUGGCAGCCUUUAUCUGUAGGCUGAGAGUGGGGAUUUGUGAGCCUGAAAUUCAAAGUGAGACUGGUGGAUGUGAGUGCCAUGGGAACCAGAGCAAGCUGGAGGUUUACACGGAUCCCCGCAGGGUUAGGGCUGCUGAGUUUCAUAUGGUGCUAGAAAAAAACAGUGUCUCUGGAAUAAAAAUCUGUCUGUGUCUCGAGGCAGCUGUGGGCACCUCCAGCCAGCACCUGAUUCACUCGCGAACAGUUACCUGCGAGGCAUCUCAGCUGGCAGACACUUGUCCGAGGCGCCGGAGGCUGCAUGGGCUGUUUUCAGUUUAAUCUAUUUUUAAUGUGGCGCCUUAUUCCAAACUGCUGAGUUCUCACAUUUCCAAGCCGUCGUGGUAAUAGGAUUGUGCAGCCUUAUUGGCUAGAGUUUUCCACCCCCAGUGCCAAAAGUUAGGCUCCUAAAUCCAUAUUUAAAUGCCUAAAUGAGGCUGACGAAUCCUGCAGGAGUCAGUAGGAACUGGACGUGGUCUGCACCUUGGAAAAUAACCAGGCUAUUGGGUGUGUGAGCAACGCCUUGCUGUAGGCACCCAGAUGUUGUGUUUUUAUCCAGAAUGACUGUGUGUGUCAGUGUGAAGGAGGGAGGUGAGAUUAGUGCAAACAGGAGCUUUGUUGGGAAUUUGGAAACGGGAUACACUGAGAAUCAUAGCAGGUGCCCAUCUCUUGCGUUGGCUUCAUGUCUGCACUACUUCCGUACCCACGAUCUAACACUGCGUAUUUUUACUCUGCUACCUUCUUCUGCUAUUUCUAUUUGUAGCACCCUGCUAGACUUGUUUCCAAGCCAAUCCAAAAUUCUUCUGAAACUCCCUUUGCUAACAGCAGCAUGAAAGCAGAACUCCGCAGUGGCUGCAGCAAUGGCAGGGGUUUGCUUUUAGCUGAGUGGUAUCGGUCACUUCAGCCUUUUGAGUUGAACUGAGAAUGGCAGUGCUAUCUGCCAAGAGAAGCAGCUUGUAAAAGUUGUAUGAUGUUGCUUUUUUCAUGGCAGACCUGAAAAAUUCUGUACAUUAAACUUCCAGCCAAUGCUUGAUAUACAUUUCCCUGAUUGCUGUGUGUGAAAGGCUUGUUUUUGUGUUAGUACUGCAGGGUAACACAUAAGACCAUGGAAGUACAAUGCGCUUUCAUCCAGAUGAGGCAGAAUUUAUUUAGCUUGAAAGAGUGUUUUAUUGCAGUAUGAAAGUGUCACUUCAGGUUUUUAUCCUGUUUUCUACAGAGGAGGAAUAAACUGUUUCCAGGGUCUCACCAGAAGAUAAAAUUCCCGUGGCUAGUCAAUGGCAAUGUGCUGGAGACUUGGAAAGCUUCAGCAAACCACAUCCUUUCACCCAGAGAGCAUGGAUAGAGCAGAGGAACCUCGUUCUGGUGGCUUUGGGUACCCCAUUACCCUGACCCAUCAUAGUGCUAGCUGACUGCUGGCCCAGGAGCACCAGGGAUGUGAGCACUGGGCGCAGUGCUGUGCAGCCUUAAGAGCCACACCCUGAAGCCAAGAGCAGAGCUGAUGUGCUGAGGCUUCCCAAACAGUGUUUGAUGUCCAGAGGACACCCUGAAAAUGCGGCUGUUUCUGCAAUCUCCUUCCAUUCUCAGCUCCCUUGCCAUCUCAUCUGAAAACAGAAACUUCAUGCAUGCUUCAUGCUUGUGUCCUCUGAGGGCUUCCAGGGUCUCCCCAGGGACAGAGCCAGCAAUCCUGCUGAAAUAAGAGAGUGCUACUCCCUCCUUCUGGCUGGUAUCAGUCUUCUAAGUCACUAUCAUUUAUUUUAGAGCAUUCACUGGGGAAGUGAGUGACCUGAGUUCAGUGCGUUCCUCAAUCUGCUCAUCUCUCACUUCCCAUGAGACGGUCUAAAAGCCAGCCCCCAGUUAUUCUGGGUGAAACCCUUUGGCAUGAAACCAUGCCUCCCAGUAAUGGGGUGUUUCUGCUUCCUGUCCCACUGUUGGUCAGCAGGUUGUUUCAGAGUGAAGUGAUCAGGGUUUCGUGUUGUGAGGAACCCAGGGUACAGUUGUCUCACUGGAAGCUGGAUUGCCAGACCCCACUCCUCUGGGCAUUCAGAGAAGACAUCCCUCUGUCUCUGUGUGCCUGUGAAUGAGAAUGGAAAAAUGCAGCUCCUUGGAGAUGCUGUGCUGGGCUGGUGGGGGAGCAGAAAGUUUGCAUGUGAAUCAGAGAUAGACCAGAGAGUGCAGGUGACUGAGGGGGAGGGACCUUGCUGAAACUGGAAUUCAGUUCCUAAGUCAGGUUUAUGAACUGUCCAGUUUUAGGUAUUUGAUUGGUGGUAACUCCUUGAAGCUUGUCUCUGCUUUUGGAUCUGCAUCCAGGGAUCCUAGUGGAUCAGCCAGGAUCUCUACUGCUGCUCUGAUAAACGUUUCCAACGUUUAUUAAAUGUGCUCUCUGACGUUCUUUUGUGGAGACAGUAAUUUGACAGUCAUCACGUGAGAAACUCUGAAUUUGCCAUCUGGCCUGGCAAGACUUAGUUCUUCUCACCAUUAAUUAAACUGACGUUACUGCACGCUUUUAUGAUGGUGGUUAUGAUCUGUCCUGCGAUAACACCAGGGCUGGUUCUGAGGCAUGCACAGCACCUUCCACUCUCAUGACGUUUGUGGGUGGUGCAGCCGAGCACCUCUGGACUUCAGUGUCAGCUCUAAUAACUGAGUUUCAGGGCCCCACUCAGGCACCUUCCUCUGGAGCGGGUUCUUCUGGUUCUGAGGGGAUGGUUUCACAAGUAGGAAGACAUAGCUGGGGGGAAAAAGGGGGCAGCUGCUUGGCUGUAAUAGAGUUCUAUAACAUGCCCUGACAGGAGACCUUACUGACCACAGCUUCGCCCUGCUUGGUGAGACCGUGACCAUUAAUGGGAAAGUGGAUUGGCAGCAACAGAUAGAGCAGGGAGCAAAAAGAGAGGAAGGAAGUGAAAUAGGACAACAGCUGAAGACAGCUGCGAAAAGCAGGCAGGUACAUCGUGGUGGCGACUGGAGUGUGGAAGAAGGAAACUAAGCUGCUUUGGUGAUGAGGCAAGGUGUCUGUAUCCUAUCUGGAAUGGACAUGUGUGGAGGUGCCCAGCAACUUAACAUGUUUGUAAUCCCCCUGGAGACCCAGCUCCAGGUGCUGGAUGGCAGAGUGUUUCCUGUCUUCGGUGGUCUCCAAACUGUGACUUGGCAAAUGAGACUGGUAGGUUUGAAAAAAAUGCCGGAGUACGAGGCUUGGGAGAAGUCAUUCCCAGAACUAACUCUUGCCAUUUUUCUCUUCCCUGUCAGAGCCUUGAAUGCUCAACUGCUCAGAGUUAACUCAGCAGCUUCAAGAGAUUCAAUAAUAUUUGUUUUUACCCAAAUCCCUCGAAGUCUGAGGGAAUGGAGACAGAAUCAGUUUACUGGGAUGAAAAGCCAAGAAAAGUAAAUCAUCCUUGGGUCAGGGUGAGCUCUCAUUUGAAGAGGCCACAGAUGGCAGAGAUGUUCAUGAAUCAGCAGUUUCACAGACCUCUGCCCAUUCAGGGAGUAAUGCGUGUAAACAAACAUGAAAAUGGCACAGAGCCGCAGAGCUUUCCAGAUCCUUCCUGCUCCCUCCAUGCAGUUGAGGGGGCCCUCCUCAGAGGAGCCAGAUAGAAGAAAAGAGCUGCUGCCCUUGACUGUGGGCUUGUCCCAGGAUGGUCAUCCUAUACCUGCUUCAGCUGUGCGAGAGCCAAAGGCUAGAGUGACAGCGGGGUGUCCCCUCUUCUCCCAUAGUGCAGCCAGGUAUGCUCUUGAGGACAGGAGGCAGCUGCUGACUGGCCUGGUGGCAGGCGUUUGGAGUUAUCUGAGAUGGAGGGAAGGAAGGAGAGGUGAGGUGAGGACGUGAGCUAUUACACCAUUGCACUGCUGCAGGUGCAGGACAGCUCCUGUACAUGUGGGCUUUGGGAGGUGGGCCUGCCCCUGGUGUGCUCCUGCUCUUUGAUAUGUGCCCUGGAUCCACACGCCGAUGAGGCUGGGACCUUGGAAGCCCCACAGAGCUCUAGCCUGUCUGGUGUUAGGGACAUUCUUCCCGCAAUUAUCUGAUGUUUGUCAAAUGUUGUGCCAGAAAAUGCAACUAGAGGGCUGUGCUGAGAGCACCCACUUUGGUAGAUCUGUGUUUGUAUUCUAGGGCCUGCUGGCCAAGCGAUGCAGUGCUACUUCCAUGCUGCCCAAGUGUCAGCCUGGGUAGUGCUUCUACAAGAAGAUAACAUGUAAGUGAUGAGAACUGGCCAAGUCAGUGACUGUGCCUGAAUCGUAGUUGAGACUUUGUCAUGGUUUGAACCAUGACAGGCUUUUUGUGAAUAGUCUGUUUGGGGUGAAACACAGCCUGAAUCUUCAAACCGUUAUGUGUGAUGACAGCUGUGAGACUUCUGUUGAAGUCACUAGGCAUCACACAACCAUAAACUUUGGAGUGUGGUUCUGCUGAGGAGAUGCUGCUACUGAGGCUCUGAGACAAAAGGAAGUGAGAGGAAAAUGGACUCUGCUGUUCUCCCAGGAGCAACACCUCACGACGCGCCAAACCUAGCAAUUGUAUGUGAGGAGCAAUUACAGUGGGUGUCACAGGAGAUGUACAGGGACAUCUAAGGCAUUGGGAUUUAUUAUCAGUAAACCAUGUACUUCAAGUUCACUGUGAAGUUGGAGAACAUCUAACCGUGUAAAUGAUCUGAGGGAAUUGGAUGAAGUGAAUUUUGUGACUGUGAAGUUAGACAAGUUAUCAGCCAUGUUUCCAGACAAUAGAGAAGAUCCUGAGAAAGACAUUUCCUGAGAAGUAAACUAACUCGUAUAGUAAUGAAUAGUCAAGAAAGCAGCUGUUUUUAAAAAACAUACAUCCACCAAAUGAUUACAGGUUGGUAUGCUUAAGGAGUGAAGAAAUGUGCAAAUUUUUUGGUGUUGCUCUUCUGAGGGUUUCUUUUGCUGGUGUCCAGACUCUGGCAACAUUAUCUUAACCUACUUUGACUGUCAGUGGUAGAAGGUAGUAGCUGGGGUGGCCGAGUGCACAGUGAGAACUGGCACUGUGCGGUGACAGAGCAGACGUGCUGGGGGUGGCUGUGACCUGGGACCCAGCAGCUGGGGGCGAGCGCCUGGAAGAGGAUGUUUCUGACUGGUGCUACCUAGAGAAAAAGCAGCCUGCUGAUGAGAUCACCUUAGGGCAUCAGGGUUUAGAAAGGGGUAGAAGAAUGUGGGACAGAAAUGAGCAGUACAGAGCAAUGACAUGCUUGAUGAGAAGCCAGCCUUACUGAGUGAGCACAGUCACAGAAUGAAAAGCUGCCCACUGGGCAGAUACCAGUGAUCGUAGCAUAAGCAGGAAAAUGGCAUCAAUCUAGACACAGUGCUUUUUGUGACUCUUAAGGCGUUGAUGGAUGAAGACUCAGUGAAGAGAAGCUUCCUUUUUCUUAUGUUUUGACAUCUUUCAGGCUUAAACAUGAACUAACUACCAUUAUCCUAAUUUUACAGAUGGGGACAGACAGGUUAUGUGACAUGCUCCAGGUCACAUGAGCAGUGUGUGUCAGAGUGAGAAACAGCACCUGGAUCUCUCAAUUGUGAAGCUGUUGCUCUUGGCGCUGCGUCAUCCCGACUGCAAACAAAACACUGAGGUUGACUUUGCCUGUGUCCUUAUGCCUACAAAUGGUUCUUCUGUGAUACCAGAAGAUGUUGCCCCCAGAUCGUGGCCUGGGGACAAUGUGAACAGCUCUGUUCUUUAUGCUGGUACCUGAGAGCAAUUGCUAGAAGUAACUUGGCUCUUCCCUGUGUUUCGUGUGUGUGCUUGGUGUGCUGAGUGGUUUCCAAAGGAACUUUCUGAGCAUUGAAGCAAAUGGGGAAACUGGCUGUGAAGCAGUUGCUGCAUGCCCACCUGCCUGCUUUAGAGCCAGCAGUCCACACCAUGUACCCAAGGCAAGCCUGAUGCUUCUGCACAACGUCCAAAACUGUCAGUGUUGGGACCAUAGACUAAUAGGAAAACUUAAAGUUUUUAAGUCUGCAGACACCCCAGCACAACAGCUCCUCUGGAAGGCGUGCUGUGGACCAUCCAUGAAGUCUGUACCACCCCAGUUUGUUUUGGACAGGAGACAAUGUUACAGGCUAUUCUAAAACCAAAGUAAGUGACAUCCACAACAUCCCUAACUUGUUUAUCCAGCACGUCAUUUCAGCACAGAAGACAACCAUGUUGGCCAGGUACAGUUUGACCUUAGUAAAUCCAUGCUGCCUGUUCUGAGUUGCAUUCUUGUCAGUGUGUUUGGAAAUGGCUUCCAAAUGAAUUUGCUUGGUAAUGUUCCCGGAUAAAAAAUGUACUGAUACCUUAAAAAUGAUAUCUAGCUCUUUGCUAAUGCUUAGGCUAAUCCCUUUCAGAAGAAGCCAGUUGAUUACAUGUGUGGAGUUUGUGACACCUACAGCAUGAGCCUGAUGUGCUGGUUGAGGGAAUUUUUGGUAGGGAGCGGCUGAGCAGGUCAAAUUCAGAAGCAACCUAAGCAGGACACACCUACUACUCCUCUGUUGGGAUUUCCUUUCUUCCCAGCCUGGCCACCAAGAGUGACCAUCCUAAUGUUGUUGCUAUGGCUUUUGUGUUACCAUGAAGCAGUUCUAAACAGAAGAAACAAGGAGGAACCAGAUCAACGGAUGGUAGAGUGUGGUAUUGUCUGACCCUGGCACCCAGCAGGGAUUUGACUGGUUUUGAAAGAGGAAGAAAUAAAAAAGAAGGUUAGCUGUUUGGAGAGUUGGGUGCAGGCCUGGUCAUUUCUAGAGAGCAUGAGUAUUUCAGUCAACAGGAAGGGUCAGGCACUUGCCAAAAUACACAUUAGCACAAUGGCCUAUAGCAGGUUGAAUUCACAGAAGACGGUUGAGUUUCACUAGGUAUGGCUCUGGCAAAGCCUUUUUCCUGCUCUGGCCCUGCAGUCCGACCUGGUGACUUUUCAACCAUUUUCUUUCUUACUUUCUAUCAGCAUACUUAUCUAGCUAUUGUAGUUCAGGCCCUUGUGAACCAAUCUGGUAUGCCCUUGGGUGACUUGAAGCUCUCUCCUUGUGACAGAUAACAGCACUUGUUCCCAGCCAAGGCGACACCUCUGAAGUCUUCUGAAUCACUCCUUUUGUAUGGAAAACUCUUGGUAAUGCUAGUCAGAACAGUGGAGGGCUGGCAGGAGUCACUGGUGUGUUCACAGCUGGAAAGUUUGGCAGACCAGAUAUGUCCCCUGUAACUGGAACUAGAGCAGGUAUUUGCAACUGAGGAAAGAGGCAGGAAGGUGCAGUGGUGGGAGGCAAUGAGCCUGAGUGCAUGAGCAUUGCACAUGGCUUGCUAAUUAGACAAAAUAUAUUUAAUCCUGUCAUCUUUUACUGUACCCAUAUUAAUGUGAUUGAGCAGCUGAAUUUCUGCCUCAUUUGCGAUCUUCUUACCUAGCGCAUUAGAAAACUUUCAGCAGUGGCACACAGAAAAGCAAAUAGGACAUCGGUGUAGUGAUAAGCCUGCUGUGCAUGUGCAAAUCCAUGUGCAUCUCUGAAGGAGACGCAGUCUCAGGCGUGUUUGGCUAAGGUUUAUAUUGCUCUGUACGGCAGGCUGAGGUUUGAAGGUCUGAAGGUAAGUGUGUGUGUGUACCUGCAUGCUGGAGUGCAGUCCCUCAUGCGCUAAUGAAAUCUGACUUGCUGGGUCACCCUCCUGCUUCAUUUGCAGUGACACAAUAUCAUUUAAAGUUGUUUGCUUAUUACAGAGAUAAUAUCACAAGGUGUGGUGCCCUGAUGGGAGCCUAGCAAGAAAGUAACACUCAUUCACCCACCCACCUUUGGCAGAUUGUCUGAGGGUCCCUCAUUGGCUUCGUGACGGAAAGUGGUUGAUUCACCUCCACCCAGCAGUAAUUAGGUGUUGCUGCCUAUGGAAGUUCCCAUGUUUGGCAUCGGACUGAUUAAAGCUGUUCUCCUUUGCCCUGUCUGUCAGACCGUCUAAAAUGUCAAUCCCCCUCCUGCUUGCGAGCUCCCUUCUGGAAAGCCCAAGUGAGCUUUUUCUUAAGGUAAAGUAUGAUCACUCCACGAGUAUCUCACGGACUGCAAUCUGUCCUGGCUUGUCAGGUCUUCAUCGGAAAAGGAUUGCAUGGGUUGAAAACCAAAGCACACGCUGACUGCCGCUUUAGUCAGUGGGAGCACUCGUGAACAAGUUGGUUCCUUUCCCAGAGUUGUUCUUAAAGGACAUCCCACAGAAAUCUGCUCUCAGCCAGUGCCUGCAGAUGUAGCCCUCUCCCACUUGCAUGAAUGCUGUGCACUUACCUCUCCUGCACCCCAUUAAUGGAUCGAUUACUGGACUGAGCCCAGCUGUGUGAUGGUGCUGGCACACUCAGCAGGAAGCAGCAGUUCUUGCUUUGAGCAUCAGCCAUCACAGAGGACCUGAGCAAUGAACUGAGUGUGUAGAUUUAUUUGCAGGGUGAGGGAAGAGUAAGGUAGGCGCCUUUGACACAUGGAUGGACUGGGAGAAGGGGCUUUGCUGGAUGCCUUAUGACUGCCUGUGGGAGACAGCUGGAAAAGGUCUUCUGUUUCCACCACAUGGUAAGAGCAUCCCCUCAGGAGUGUCCCUGCUUCUGCCCACACCCAGCAAAGCCUUGGGCCCAGCCUGGCUCAGAGCUCUGCUCCCAAACUCACAGUGCAAGCAGUGUCACACAGACUGCAGUCCUCAGUGUGACAUCGGCAUUGCUGGCCACCACGGAUUAGGCAUGAGCUUUUUCACCCUGCCGAAGGUGCCUUUGGGGUCUUCAACCCAGGUGACAGCAGGUGAAGGCUGACAGCGCCUGCUGUUCAGCUGGAGGGAGCUGAUGGUGCCAGGCUGCAGGGGCAGCUGGGUGACACCACGUAAAGAGCAGCAAGUUGCUGGCCAUCUCAGCAGAGGGGGGAGGGAGGCCAUGACCUGCUGCUCCCCAUUGCAGGCACAGCCUUGGUGGCAAAAUUUGGCUGCAGCAGAUGAGAGAUAAGCCCUGCGUGUAAUCACACCACACAGCCUCCAGGAGAGAAGCGAAGGCUGCAUUCUGCUGUAGGCAGAAUGGCACCCAGCCCCUACCUGCACAGUUGUCAUUGCCAAGGAGACACCAGGUGAACUCAGGAAAAGUGAAACAUCGUGAGAAAAAAUGGGGAAUGAACCAGAGAGACAGAAUCUUACAAUAACACCAAUGUAAACACAGGCCUAGUUUUUAUCUUGUGCAGAGAGAUUGUUUUUGAGAACAAAUGCAGAGUGAAAUGAAUUCAUAGACCUCUGUACCAGGUGCAAUCAUUAGUCAGUAAAUGAAUUACACAUAAUUAUCUGCUUUGUAUUUAAUUCACUUGGCUUCCAGUUUCUUACUCUUCGUACAGUGAAACUCUCUAUCUCUCUCACACAAACACACUCUCCAUGGGCAAGGAGGUUUUGGAGGGCUGCCAUCACCCUGACUCAUGAAUCAGACUCCAUGAUUUGAAUGAUAUUUAUCUAAGCCUGCAAACAAAGAAGAUGGCUAUGUGUCCAAUGAGAGAAUAAUUAUUGUUAUUAUGUUUAUAGAGUAACAAAGUUGGGAGUUAGGACCCCGGGGGAAAGGUGGCAGGAAGGGCGAGCUGGGCAGAGGCAGGAGGCUGUAGGCAGUGUUUCAGUGCAGGGAUGUGCCAGGGCCUUAGCAGGGCUCCCCGCUUCUGAGUCACCUCUGCCAGGCAUCGCUCAGCGGCCACGGCAGGCAGUGAGGUGAUGCCUGCUUCCGUGGGAUGCUGCCAGGGCUUUGGCAGCGGCUGAAAACUUGGGGUUGGCUCAGAGCAUCCUGCACAGGUCCAUCACCAGGGGGACAGAGGACAUGGAUAUGCCUGUGUGGCACAUCCAGGAAGGGAAAGAAACCUAUAACGGGGAAAAGUGUCCUUUGCAGGUAGCGCAGCUGCUGCCACAGCAGGUUGCUGAGACGCAAAAAUGUCCCUUGGCAUGGCAGCGGGCUCACCUUGCUUUGUGACUUCAGUGCAAGCGUGGGCAGAGGAGGGCUGCUCAGUGCCUGGGAGAGCUCUGGGUGCUGUGACAGUGCCAUGUGUGAGCGAGGUCAGUGCUCUGUGCAUCUGUGGCAGUGCUGGAGGAGACUGCCUGUUGGGGCCAUCUGUGGCAGGCAGUAAGCUUGGGAGAACAGGUAACUUGAAUCCCGUAUUUCUAAAGUGUCACUAAAGCUUCAUCAUGCCCUGUGACACCGCUGAGGUUACAGGGACCCACCCCUGCCAGGAAGGGCAUCUGAUGUGUGUGUGCCUGCACAAAGCUCACUCCUCUCUGUUGGGCCCAUGGAGCAGGCCUGGUCCCACCUGUGUUCACAGCUGAUCACAGGUGAUGGUGACAGGUCUCUCCUUUGGCUUGGCACCACCAAGCAGCCCCUGCCCAGCACAGCCAUGGCUCUUUCUACAGAGCCCAGAGAUGAAUACCAGACUGAAAGUGCCUUCGUUUGUGAUUAAGUGCCAGCCAUCAUAAAGGCAAGUGGCCCUUCUGUUGAGAGAAUCAGAAAUCUAAGUACCGUUUACCUCUAUUAACACAGCUUUAGAUGGUAAAGGCGGAGUCACCUUUCAGCCAUCUGUAAUCCCCUUUAAGUUACAAUACAAAGUCAGGGAGACAGCAGCACAGACAGCCAGGUGAGAACACCCAGCAAGGCAGCAAAUGUAGAACAAAUCCCACAUGGGGAACGGACCAUCCUGCUCUUGUUCUGCAAGUAUUGGUGUUAAAUGCUUCCAAAUUUUGCCCCUGUUAUUGAGAAGGGGAUGAAACCAAUAACUACUUGAUAAUCAGUGCUGCAAAAAAUGCCACUAAAAAUGGAAACUAACUCGAUGUUACUCCAAUCAAAACACUUGUGGAAACAAGUUUCAUCUUGCUGGAUGUUUUAACUGAUAAAUAAAUUCAUGUUAAUAUCCCAGGAAGAAACAUGGAAAGGCUUUGACCAAUGAAGUACUGCCAGUGCAAUGGUACGAAAUGAUCCUCUGGAUCACAGAGCAUUCCUUGGGGGACAUGUCUUGCAAGCGCUGGCUUUUUUAAACUGCAGUAAAUCUUCCUUACUUAAUUCCCUUUUCAGAAUAACUUAAAUUUUCUGGAGUAGGUUGAUAGAAAAUAUCUGUGUGGUAACAUUAACAGCCCAGAGGGAAAAAAAAAAGAGUUUUUAUAGGAGAGCAAUCAAAAUAUUGCUGAGACAGGACUGGCCACGAGAGGAGAAACAGUGGUUUCUGGACUUUUGGUAAAGCCCAGGAGUCCUGCACCAGGACUUCCUCCAUCUCACAGAACUGCUGCAUGGCCCUGGGAACGGCUCCCAAAAUAUGUUUGUUUAUCAGUUGGCCUAGUAAAAAUAUUACUGCUCCCCACACAUUUUGUCUACAAAGCAUCUGAAUGCCCUUGAGUGGAGGAGGUGAAGGAGGAGGAGAAAUAGUCCAGCACUGGUCUCCGUAAAUAAUACUGCAUAGGCAGCAGUUCCUGCAUCUCUCACCCUCUCUCACUGAUGCACAAAGGCUUUAUAUUAUUGUUAGGAGGAAAACAUCAGGCAAUACCCAGCCUGAGAUGGCAAGCAGUCCCCCUGCUUAUGGUCUCAGAGAAAUAAUGCCAUGACGCACGAGAACAACAACGCCACAAAUCCUUCUUUCUGAGCAGGUUGACAGAAAGCAGCAGUGUGAGGCCAUAGCUGCUGCUUCGUCACAGACACCACAUCCAGCACACCUGCUCCUGCACACCUUGGGGCUGCUGCUGGACAUAAUACGCCUUCAACUUUUCUUAACAUUGCAACACAGAUGGCAGCUGGCUUUGUACAUCCGAACACAGUCGUACUGUCGUGCGCCACAAGACCACAGAGCAGCCAUGUUCCUCACUGUCAAACCCAAGGAGGUUUCUGAAAAACAUCACUCUGCAGAUGGCAGAGCGCAGCCGUGGGGCCAGCAGUGGCCUAAACAUUGCAGUGUGGGCAAAGCAAGUUCAGGGCUGCCUACAGCUGCCUGCAGAGAUGCACUUUUUCAGCACAUUGUGUGCACUGACCAUCAGGUCCCUUCUCACUGUGAGUACUGUCUAUUAUGGAUCGCUAAGGAAAUAUAAAUUUCAAAUUCCUAGAGGAAUUUUUCCCAAUUCACAAGCUGUUCAAUGUUAACAAAGUUAUACGUUGGAGUCAGUGACAAAAGAGCACAGGUUCAGCAGCAGAGAUGUGAGAUAAGCCCUACAGCUGCUGGACUUGUUGAGUUACUCCAGUGAAGCCAGACAAGUAAUGUACAGAGUAUUUUAAUAGUCUGUACUUGUGGGGAUUGUACUAAUUUUUCACGAAGAUACUGAAGUAAUUUACAAUAGCAAUAUUGUUUACCAGCCCAGGGAAGGUUGCAUCACAGAGCCAUGUGUGCUUUGGAUGGCUUAGAAGGGGAUGGAGCGAAGGAGUGGAAAGAACCACAUCCUUCUCUUGAUCACAAAUCACUCGUGUUUGUACCUGAAAGACCAUAAAUGUGUC